AGCAACCAUCAGGCCUCCCAGAUUGUAUCAAGGAAUUGAAACUUAGCAGAUCAUGGCUUUUGGACAAUGAGAUGCCAUACGCCUCAUCAAUCACUAUUUCCUAAUCAUCCACCUGUUUCCUGUUGACCAACUUCUCUUCUUUACCUCUCCCUGCUUCCUAUUUUCCCACACAUAGUUACAUUUUUUCCCUGCUAUAUAAACCCCUAAUUUUAGUAAAUCAGGGAGAUGGUUUGAGACUGAUCUCCCAUUGCCUCACCUGCAACACCUGAUGAAAGCCUUCUUUCCUGGCAAUACUCAUCAUCUCAGUGAUUGGCUUUCUGUGUAGUGAGCAGCAGAACCUAGACUGGACCCCUGGUGUUUUGUAAGAAAGAAUGAGAUAAUACUGCGAUGAAUAUUUUGUGACGUAUUUCCAUAUCCACAUAUAUGACAGCUUCUCUAGGUUGUGUGUCUCAGAAGAGAAAUAAUGUAUCAUAGAUUAAAGAGAGUUUCUCUGGCUGAAGAGAAUGUUUUGUGCAUUCUGGAGAGAAUAUGGGGAAAUGCUGUGGCCUGAUGAGUAACAUAUGCCUGGAGAAUAUUCAGAUUUUGGAAGAAGCACGAAAAUGAUUUACUGAUUUAGGAACUGGGUGGAGUAGACCACAAAAAGACAAAUCAAAAACAUCUGGAAUGAACUAGUUGAGAGAGAAAAAGAGAGAGCAAGAAAAAAAGCAGGAGCCGGCAAGAGGGAGCCUCAGCCAACACUACAUCAGAGGCACAUUGUGGAUGGAGGAAAUGAGUUUAGUCAAGCCAGCUGUGACUUCAAAGGGGCUGCUCUCCCAGAGAACAGUGAGAAAGGGUUCCCCCUUCAGUGAAGACUGCAAAGUUCAGCCAGCGCCAACCCAAAGGGAAUGGACUCCAGGAAGGGGCAAAUUACAUUCAACAUACAAGAAAGAAUAUUUUCCUUCAUGAAGUGGCUGUGACAGUCUGAAGAGGAAGGAAAAUGACAAAAAAGAAAGGGCCAGUACGUGGAAAAUGCGGAAAUUGGAACUUACUAUAAGUAACUAAUUCAGAAAUCAGGCUGGCAGAAGUGUUAUACAUUCACUGGAAGAAAUUGGUGAAUAUAUGGAAAACAUAAAUGUUAUGUAUCCUGGAACUUAAAAUAAAAAUUAAUAAUAAAAAAUGUUAUCUCUCCCAAGCACUCAUUUGAUGCUUGAAUCCUCUCUAUGACAUCCUUACCAAGGAUUUGUUCUUCUUAUGCUUGGGUACUUCAACUGAUGAGAAUCUCACUAGCUCAGGAUGCAGUUUGCUUUCUUUUAGAUAGCUCUGUUAGAGCUGCCUUCUUCCAGGGCUGAACACUUCCAUAAUUUAAAUUCCAUUUAUUAGUUUUAGUCCUGCCCCUUGGGAACUCGUAGCAAAGAUACUUACAUAUUAAUGUGACAUUUUUCAGGUACUUGAGGUUAGUAAUUAUGUAGCAUAUGACAUAGAUUAAACUCAUAGACUCUGGAAACAAACUACUUGCCUUCCCUUCAAAUUCUUAUUCUGCCACUUACUUACUAUGUGACCUCCAGAGAGUUAUUUACUAUCUCUGUAACUUUAUUUCUUUAUCUAUAUAAAAAGAUAUAAUAAUAGCAGUACAUCAAAGGGCUUUUAUAAGGAGUCCAUGAAUUAAUAUAUGUAGAUGUGCCUGGAACACGGUAAGUGCUCUAAAAGUUUUCACUAUUACUAAUCAUCAUCAUUAUUAUACAGAUCUUGUCAGAUAUCGGACCUAGGCCAUCUUUCUAAGUCUUUACUCAUUCAUUAAGUGAGCUCAUUCACUCCCAUGGCUUCAAUCACCAUCUAUAUGAUUAUGAAAAAUCUAUUUUCCUCCUGAGCCAAGAGCUAAAUGUAAGUGACCAGUUAUGGAUACAGGAAUUGCUCUGGCCACCAUAAUUUGGGUGGAAAUGGUGCAUACCACUUCCAGUUCUUGCCCCUUAAAAUACCAUGAGAAAUCUUGCACUCCUUUCUCCUAGUUCAUCAGCUAACUGAAUGCAGAGAAACCAGUGGAGGACUCCAAGGAAAUUCCAAAGAGUGGUUGAACCACGGGUUGGAAGAAGUCUAGAUCCCUGAGUCAAUGUUUGGAGAGGAGCUGCCGAGGAGAGCCACCAGAGAGGGACACAUGAGCAAGAAAUAAACAUUUCUUCUGUUAAAACAUUGAGAUUUUAUAGCCCAUCAUGACUAAUCCAAUGAGACCCUAGUGUAGAUCUUUUGCUUAGUCUUCGCUUCUGAGAUCUAGAACUAUAUAUUUCAUUUGCUAAUCACCAUUUCUACAUGAACCCUCAAAUAGGGUAAUAGGUAAACUCAGAGUUUCUAAGAUUAGACUGUGUUGAAAUCUUAGUCCUUCCAGGUACAGCUAUAUGACUCAAUGUGUGUGUGGGGGCGGGGGCAGGGGGGUUAAAUAAACUAUUCAUAACUGUAUCUACUUAAAAGUAAUAAGAAAAUGAAAUGAGCAUAUACAUAUAUAUAAAACAGUUAUCGGCACAUAGUAAAUGCUCAGUAAUUGUCAGGUAAUACAGUUAUUAUGACCAUCCCACUCCAAAUUUGCUCUUUCCCCAGGUUUUUUAUGUUGAUAAAUGGUACCACCAUCCAAUAGUUGUUAAAAUUAGAAAUUUGCAACUUUAUCUUGGAUCACUUUUUUUAUCCUCCCACAUGGAUAAAGUCAAUCAAUAACUGAUUGAUUACACUCCUUCAGUAUUUUUCAAAUCCAUUUGCUUAACUCUCUCCUCUUCUAUUCUACACUUUUCAUCCUAGUUAAAGCCACCAGCCUAUGUAACUUUAUUAUAUUUGCGUCCUUACUAGUCUUUUCAAAUCCAUCCUUGCACCCUCCCAAUUCAUGCUUUAUGUGGAAAUGUAGGCAUUUUUUAAAAAAUUCAAAUCAAAUCUUGCUGCUCAAAAUUUUAAAUGCAUCAACACCGAUUGCUCUUUGGUGCCACCACAUUCCUGACCCAUUACUUCAGCACCCCCUCAAACCCACCACAGGACUUUAUUUCUACAAUUCAGCCACACUGGACUUUUGUCGGUGUCAGAAAAGUGCCAUAGAUUGUCCCAUCUUUGAUGUUAUCAUGUGUUGGUUACUUUUGCUUAGAAUAAACUUUCUCCCCAUCCCAGUUUACCUAAUUAAUUCCUGACCACUCUUUACAUUUCUGCUUAAAUGCUAUACUCUCCAGAAAGCCCUCUUAGCAAUCUCUGCCCACACUUCUUAAAGCUAUGCCUACAUAGCCCCCACCUUAUUUCUUCAUUAAACUCUUUGCACUUGCCAUUAUUUGUAUAAUUAUGUUUUCCCAGCUAACCAGGAGACUUUGUGAGGGCAGAGACCUCAUAUGUAUGGCUCACUGCCUGGUAUAGACAGUAUAUUGGCUUAUACGAAGGAGGAGUUUAUUAAAUACAGUAAAUUUUUUUAAGUGUGAAUAUGAGUCUGUUAAAUGACUGUGUGUAUAUGUACCCAAUGUAAAGUUUUAUUUGGUUCGGUCUAGAAAAAUGUCCUACAGCCAAUUCAUGUACCUAAUUAAAUUCACUUACAAAUUUAGGAAACUCAGCACCUGCCCUAUUUGAGUUUAAAACUAGUUGAUUUGAUAGACAUAUAAAAUAAAAACUAUACUAUAGUAUCAUCCAUGCUGUCAUAAUAGAAUUAUCUCAAAACCUCCAUUGAUGUACUAUUUGGG
Molecule: long non-coding RNA, 3674 nt
Filed under: Homo sapiens (human)
Lineage: Eukaryota; Metazoa; Chordata; Mammalia; Primates; Hominidae
Description: HSALNT0143934
Source: RNAcentral